RNAcentral lists this ribosomal RNA (485 nucleotides) under uncultured bacterium. Its description in RNAcentral is "partial 16S ribosomal RNA". It matches the Rfam family "Bacterial small subunit ribosomal RNA", at positions 28 to 523 of the family's 1533-position model. The record is from RNAcentral.
GACGAACGCUGGCGGCGUGCUUAACACAUGCAAGUCGAACGAUGAAGCCGGAGCUUGCUCUGGUGAAUUAGUGGCGAACGGGUGAGUAACACGUGAGUAACCUGCCCUUGACUCUGGGAUAACUGCUAGAAAUGGUAGCUAAUACCGGAUACGACCCUCGGUGGCAUCACCAGGGGGUGGAAAGCUUUUGCGGUGUGGGAUGGGCCCGCGGCCUAUCAGCUUGUUGGUGGGGUAAUGGCCUACCAAGGCGACGACGGGUAGCCGGCCUGAGAGGGUGACCGGUCACACUGGGACGGAGAUACGGCCCAGACUCCUACGGGAGGCAGCAGUGGGGAAUAUUGCACAAUGGGCGCAAGCCUGAUGCAGCGACGCCGCGUGAGGGAUGACGGCCUUCGGGUUGUAAACCUCUUUCAGCUAUGACGAAGCGCAAGUGACGGUAGUAGCAGAAGAAGGACCGGCCAACUACGUGCCAGCCGCCGCGGUAA